This 497-nucleotide ribosomal RNA is filed under the name uncultured bacterium. Its description in RNAcentral is "partial 16S ribosomal RNA". It matches the Rfam family "Bacterial small subunit ribosomal RNA", at positions 28 to 507 of the family's 1533-position model. The record is from RNAcentral.
GAUGAACGCUGGCGGCGUGCCUAAUACAUGCAAGUCGAGCGAACAGACGAGGAGCUUGCUCCUCUGACGUUAGCGGCGGACGGGUGAGUAACACGUGGAUAACCUACCUAUAAGACUGGGAUAACUUCGGGACACCGGAGCUAAUACCGGAUAAUAUAUUGAACCGCAUGGUUCAAUAGUGAAAGACGGUUUUGCUGUCACUUAUAGAUGGAUCCGCGCCGCAUUAGCUAGUUGGUACGGUAACGGCUUACCAAGGCAACGAUGCGUAGCCGACCUGAGAGGGUGAUCGGCCACACUGGAGCUGAGACACGGUCCAGACGCCUACGGGAGGCAGCAGUAGGGAAUCUUCCGCAAUGGGCGAAAGCCUGACGGAGCAACGCCGCGUGAGUGAUGAAGGUCUUCGGAUCGUAAAGCUCUGUUAUUAGGGAAGAACAAAUGUGUAAGUAACUAUGCACGUCUUGACGGUACCGGAUCAGAAAGCCACGGCUAACUACGUG